Long non-coding RNA from Ornithodoros turicata, 1060 nucleotides. RefSeq lists it as uncharacterized. The transcript is spliced from 2 exons. NCBI's taxonomy places the organism in Eukaryota, Metazoa, Arthropoda, Arachnida, Ixodida, Argasidae. The record is from RefSeq and is a predicted model, not a curated record.
GUCUUUUUCACUCUGUUCAAGUGUUUGUUUUCCUCUGUUGCCCAGCAGUCGUACGAUUUGUCCUGACGUGUCCUGACAUGCCCCGAUAUGCAUGCUUUCCUUUGUUGACGCUUAGUAUUUUUUCUCUUUUGACAAGGAACAUUGUUGUCUUGACGAUAGUGCUGCCCUGAGUUCUGCGCGCGUUGAUUUGUUGAGUGCCUAGUCCUCUUAUUAGCCGUUGUUGGAGUUACAUGUUAGGAUGUUUUGUUCUUUUGCAAGUCUCAUUUAGUAAGACUUUGGAAUUCCUUCGAUCAGCUUUCAUGCAUGGUGCUCUUCUGCAAUAGUUUCCUAUGCAAUCGUUAUAGAAGAAUAAAGGAAAUAAUCUUGGGAUAGUGAUUCAAUAAAUAAUAGGUCCCCUGCCUAGAGCGCACGCGUCCUUGAGCCACGCAGGUGCAUGAUGACGUCAUACCAUGGCUUCACUGCAGAUUGACCAAAGGAGCAUUAGUGGAAAAAAAAAACAGUGUAGCCCUGAGACAAUAGGAUGAUGUCUGGACCAAUGAGAACUGCCAGCAGGGGGCGCAGGAAUGCUCUUCUCACUUAGCCUCACGACCAAUGAGAACUGCCAGCAGGGGGCGCAGGAAUGCUCUUCUCACUUAGCCUCACGACCAAUGAGCAACGAGAGAAGAGGGCGCAGGAAUGCUCUUCUCUCUUAGCCUCUCGCAGGUGGCGGUAGGAGCGCGCAGAGGGCGCUACGAGCGCGCGCAUGCGUAGCACCCGUAGAGUGGCGCUUACGUCAGUCCACCUCUGGCUCUCGUUGGGAGAAGACGUGUGGUCGUUCGCUCCGUCGUCACUUGAUCCCUGGCUGUCGACGAGAGCAGUCGCAUCGGUCUGCGCUCCUACUGUGAGCUGUCCUAACCUGCCCAGACAUGCCAUGAUGACGUCACAGCUGACGUCACAGGAUGUGCGGAACUGGUGCUGCGAUGCUUUGCAACCUGCCUCAGUGCUCCGUCGCCCAGCGGCCUUUCCGGGCCGCUUUCUUCAAGACGAUGUCGUUGAUCUUCAACUAAACUCCUUCUCUCCA